Molecule: small nucleolar RNA, 92 nt
Organism: Cavia aperea (Brazilian guinea pig)
Lineage: Eukaryota; Metazoa; Chordata; Mammalia; Rodentia; Caviidae
Gene: SNORD116
Rfam family: Small nucleolar RNA SNORD116
About the family: HBII-85 is a member of the C/D class of snoRNAs, which contain the C (UGAUGA) and D (CUGA) box motifs. HBII-85 is encoded in a tandemly repeated array with another C/D snoRNA, HBII-52, in the Prader-Willi syndrome (PWS) region of chromosome 15.
Source: Ensembl
GGAUUGAUGGUGUCACACAUACAUAGAGUCCUUGGAAAGCUAAACAAAAGGAAUGAAAAAUCAGUACUGUCACUGGCAUAGAACUGAGGUCA